Molecule: long non-coding RNA, 423 nt
Filed under: Gallus gallus (chicken)
Lineage: Eukaryota; Metazoa; Chordata; Aves; Galliformes; Phasianidae
Source: RNAcentral
GGCUGUCUGAGGUUUGCUAAUACCUGAUAUCCUGGAUAACACAGUAGUCAACACAAAUUGUUCUAGGCUACAGCACCUUCUCACGAAGCAGAUGCAUAUCUGACAUCAAGAACAGAAGUAGCCUCAUCUUCCUCUUCAGACAUUUUAGUGGAAUUAUCGGGGGAUUUUACAGGCUUCUGGCUAUUGGUUCCAUUUGUCUCCUCUUUGCCGUGUUCUGCCUCCCACUCCUGUAGAACUUCAUCUAUGUUGAAACGACGUCGGUAAUUUACAAAAAAGUUUUUCACUUGCACCACAGAUUUGUUACCGAUCACAUCAGAGAUUGCCUGAAAGUCUCGUCCGUAUUUCCUGAUUGCUUGCACAGCAAGAAGCUGCUCAUCUGUGGUCCAACGUGCAUUAAAUUUCUGAACAACCUCCGGAAGUCUG